Molecule: long non-coding RNA, 938 nt
Organism: Harmonia axyridis
Lineage: Eukaryota; Metazoa; Arthropoda; Insecta; Coleoptera; Coccinellidae
Exons: 2
Source: RefSeq, a predicted model, not a curated record
CCCAAAUGAAAACUUUUCAACAAAGCGAGAUUCCGCUUUCAGUAUUUUUGAAUUUGAGGUCACAAUUUCGUUGUGUCAAUUGGGAAAUGUGUCAGGUUGCGUUCUAGUUUUUUGUUUUGAUUCAACAAAUAUUUCAGAUUAUGGGUGGGGGUUGAAAACAAGAAAGGCAAAAUAUUUCAGAUGAGGAAGAAUUGCAGAAUGAAUAGGUCGAAAGUAUACAUAUUCAUAUGUGAGUAUGGAAUUUCCACUCUAACUAGGAAAGAUUAAUUUAUAAUCUUCAAUAUUCCAUACAUGUCGUGUCUAAUAACCUAGACCUGAUAGACGCAAUUGGAUCUUUAUGAUAAGCAGACUUAAAAAUGAAAAGCCUUUGUUUUGCACACAAAAAUGAAAUCAUUUAGUUGGUUUGUGUAUUAAAAAUAGGUAACGCCAGAAAAUGUGUUUGAAUUCACUUUAUUUUACACUUCCCUUAGGAGAUUAAUUUCACUUAACAUUAUUAUUUCUAUACAGAAAACGGAAAGCUGAAGAUCAUCCAUUCAGUUCACUAUUAACACAGUCAUUCAAAGUAUUAGUGAUGUUAGAUAUGGCAUUGUCAAUAUCAGCUUUGGUGCUGUCUAUGCAUGAUCUAGCUGCUUCUACUGCAUUUUCGAUUAAUGUCCUAGCAUCGGAGUUCAAUGAGUUGACAUCAUUUUCAAUACGUUCUAAUCCUUGACCCAAACAGGUUCUCAAGGUAGCAGCAUUUUGAAUACCUGUCAUGCAUUUGGGUAUCAAAGUACCAAGUUGACGAGGUAUCACAGAGAUUUUUGGCAUGAGUUUCUGAACGUUGAUGAGCUCGUUGCUCAAACCACACUUCUGAAGAGCAUCUAUAGUCAAAGUGGACACUGUGGAUCUGGCAGCAGAAACGCAGUCAUCAACGUUCUGGUUCAGUUCUUCAGCCCUUG